This 960-nucleotide ribosomal RNA is filed under the name Vibrio parahaemolyticus. RNAcentral describes it as "bacterial SSU rRNA". It matches the Rfam family "Bacterial small subunit ribosomal RNA", at positions 471 to 1430 of the family's 1533-position model. Lineage: Bacteria; Pseudomonadati; Pseudomonadota; Gammaproteobacteria; Vibrionales; Vibrionaceae. The record is from RNAcentral.
GACGUUAGCGACAGAAGAAGCACCGGCUAACUCCGUGCCAGCAGCCGCGGUAAUACGGAGGGUGCGAGCGUUAAUCGGAAUUACUGGGCGUAAAGCGCAUGCAGGUGGUUUGUUAAGUCAGAUGUGAAAGCCCGGGGCUCAACCUCGGAAUAGCAUUUGAAACUGGCAGACUAGAGUACUGUAGAGGGGGGUAGAAUUUCAGGUGUAGCGGUGAAAUGCGUAGAGAUCUGAAGGAAUACCGGUGGCGAAGGCGGCCCCCUGGACAGAUACUGACACUCAGAUGCGAAAGCGUGGGGAGCAAACAGGAUUAGAUACCCUGGUAGUCCACGCCGUAAACGAUGUCUACUUGGAGGUUGUGGCCUUGAGCCGUGGCUUUCGGAGCUAACGCGUUAAGUAGACCGCCUGGGGAGUACGGUCGCAAGAUUAAAACUCAAAUGAAUUGACGGGGGCCCGCACAAGCGGUGGAGCAUGUGGUUUAAUUCGAUGCAACGCGAAGAACCUUACCUACUCUUGACAUCCAGAGAACUUUCCAGAGAUGGAUUGGUGCCUUCGGGAACUCUGAGACAGGUGCUGCAUGGCUGUCGUCAGCUCGUGUUGUGAAAUGUUGGGUUAAGUCCCGCAACGAGCGCAACCCUUAUCCUUGUUUGCCAGCGAGUAAUGUCGGGAACUCCAGGGAGACUGCCGGUGAUAAACCGGAGGAAGGUGGGGACGACGUCAAGUCAUCAUGGCCCUUACGAGUAGGGCUACACACGUGCUACAAUGGCGCAUACAGAGGGCGGCCAACUUGCGAAAGUGAGCGAAUCCCAAAAAGUGCGUCGUAGUCCGGAUUGGAGUCUGCAACUCGACUCCAUGAAGUCGGAAUCGCUAGUAAUCGUGGAUCAGAAUGCCACGGUGAAUACGUUCCCGGGCCUUGUACACACCGCCCGUCACACCAUGGGAGUGGGCUGCAAAAGAAGUAGG